CUACGGGCGGCUGCAGUGGGGAAUAUUGCACAAUGGAGGAAACUCUGAUGCAGCAACGCCGCGUGGAGGAUGACACUUUUCGGAGCGUAAACUCCUUUUAUAUAGGAAGAAGAUGACGGUACUAUAUGAAUAAGCGCCGGCUAACUCCGUGCCAGCAGCCGCGGUAAUACGGAGGGCGCAAGCGUUACUCGGAAUCACUGGGCGUAAAGAGCGUGUAGGCGGACUAAAAAGUCAGAAGUGAAAUCCUAUAGCUUAACUAUAGAACUGCUUCUGAAACUCUUAAUCUAGAAUAUGGGAGAGGUAGAUGGAAUUUCUGGUGUAGGGGUAAAAUCCGCAGAGAUCAGAAGGAAUACCGAUUGCGAAGGCGAUCUACUAGAACAUUAUUGACGCUGAGACGCGAAAGCGUGGGGAGCAAACAGGAUUAGAUACCCCUGUAGUC
This 439-nucleotide ribosomal RNA is filed under the name uncultured bacterium. RNAcentral's name for it is "partial 16S ribosomal RNA". It matches the Rfam family "Bacterial small subunit ribosomal RNA", at positions 339 to 795 of the family's 1533-position model. The record is from RNAcentral.